RNAcentral lists this ribosomal RNA (433 nucleotides) under uncultured bacterium. RNAcentral describes it as "partial 16S ribosomal RNA". It matches the Rfam family "Bacterial small subunit ribosomal RNA", at positions 29 to 507 of the family's 1533-position model. The record is from RNAcentral.
AGCGAACGCUGGCGGCAGGCCUAACACAUGCAAGUCGAACGGAUCCUUCGGGAUUAGUGGCGGACGGGUGAGUAACACGUGGGAACGUGCCCUUUGGUUCGGAACAACUCAGGGAAACUUGAGCUAAUACCGGAUGUGCCCUUCGGGGGAAAGAUUUAUCGCCAUUGGAGCGGCCCGCGUCUGAUUAGCUAGUUGGUGAGGUAACGGCCCACCAAGGCGACGAUCAGUAGCUGGUCUGAGAGGAUGAUCAGCCACACUGGGACUGAGACACGGCCCAGACUCCUACGGGAGGCAGCAGUGGGGAAUCUUGCGCAAUGGGCGAAAGCCUGACGCAGCCAGGCCGCGUGAAUGAUGAAGGUCUUAGGAUUGUAAAAUUCUUUCAGCGGGGACGAUAAUGACGGUACCCGCAGAAGAAGCUCCGGCUAACUUCGUG